RNAcentral lists this transfer RNA (76 nucleotides) under Clostridioides difficile. Its description in RNAcentral is "tRNA-Lys(ttt)". It matches the Rfam family "tRNA". Rfam says of the family: Transfer RNA (tRNA) molecules are approximately 80 nucleotides in length. The record is from RNAcentral. Lineage: Bacteria; Bacillati; Bacillota; Clostridia; Peptostreptococcales; Peptostreptococcaceae.
GCCCAGAUAGCUCAGUCGGUAGAGCACCUGACUUUUAAUCAGGGUGUCGGUGGUUCGAUUCCGCCUCUGGGCACCA